CGCGGAUCAGCAUGCCGCGGUGAAUACGUUCCCGGGCCUUGUACACACCGCCCGUCACACCACGAGAGCUUGCAACACCCGAAGUCGGUGAGGUAACCCGCAAGGGAGCCAGCCGCCGAAGGUGGGGCAAGUGAUUGGGGUGAAGUCGUAACAAGGUAGCCGUACCGGAAGGUGCGGCUGGAUCACCUCCUUUCUAAGGA
RNAcentral lists this ribosomal RNA (200 nucleotides) under Geobacillus stearothermophilus. RNAcentral's name for it is "partial 16S ribosomal RNA". It matches the Rfam family "Bacterial small subunit ribosomal RNA", at positions 1343 to 1533 of the family's 1533-position model. The record is from RNAcentral. Lineage: Bacteria; Bacillati; Bacillota; Bacilli; Caryophanales; Anoxybacillaceae. RNAcentral also lists the same sequence under 1 other name.